GAGGGUAUAGCUCAAGUGGUAGAGCGCAUGCUUAGCAUGCAUAAGGUCCUGGGUUCAAUCCCUAGUACCUCUA
Molecule: transfer RNA, 73 nt
Organism: Camelus ferus (Wild Bactrian camel)
Lineage: Eukaryota; Metazoa; Chordata; Mammalia; Artiodactyla; Camelidae
Rfam family: tRNA
About the family: Transfer RNA (tRNA) molecules are approximately 80 nucleotides in length. Their secondary structure includes four short double-helical elements and three loops (D, anti-codon, and T loops). Further hydrogen bonds mediate the characteristic L-shaped molecular structure. tRNAs have two regions of fundamental functional importance: the anti-codon, which is responsible for specific mRNA codon recognition, and the 3' end, to which the tRNAs corresponding amino acid is attached (by aminoacyl-tRNA synthetases). tRNAs cope with the degeneracy of the genetic code in two manners: having more than one tRNA (with a specific anti-codon) for a particular amino acid; and 'wobble' base-pairing, i.e. permitting non-standard base-pairing at the 3rd anti-codon position.
Source: Rfam